GUAGGUGGCAAGCGUUGUCCGGAAUUAUUGGGCGUAAAGCGCGCGCAGGCGGUUCUUUAAGUCUGAUGUGAAAGCCCACGGCUCAACCGUGGAGGGUCAUUGGAAACUGGAGAACUUGAGUACAGAAGAGGAAAGCGGAAUUCCACGUGUAGCGGUGAAAUGCGUAGAGAUGUGGAGGAACACCAGUGGCGAAGGCGGCUUUUCUGGUCUGUAACUGACGCUGAGGCGCGAAAGCGUGGGGAGCAAAACAGGGAUUAGAUACCCUGGUAGUCCACGCCGUAAACGAUGAGUGCUAAGUGUUAGGGGGGUUUCCGCCCCCUUAGUGCUGCAGCUAACGCAUUAAGCACUCCGCCUGGGGAUACGGCCGCAAGGCUG
This 375-nucleotide ribosomal RNA is filed under the name uncultured organism. RNAcentral describes it as "partial 16S ribosomal RNA". It matches the Rfam family "Bacterial small subunit ribosomal RNA", at positions 527 to 896 of the family's 1533-position model. The record is from RNAcentral.